CAUGGCUGAUCGGAGCAAAGCCCCAACCGCUCAAGAGUGGAAAUCAGGCAGACCAGACACGGGCAUGGUGCUCGUAAAAACGGUUCCUGUUCGACCUGGGAAUGCAGCUCCCGAAGGAGCAGAUGUUUCCCUAGAAAGGAGGUGAUCCAGCCGCACCUUCCGGUACGGCUA
RNAcentral lists this unclassified non-coding RNA (171 nucleotides) under uncultured fungus. RNAcentral describes it as "sequence contains ITS1". Lineage: Eukaryota; Fungi. The record is from RNAcentral.